GUGGAUUAGAUACCCUGGUAGUCCACGCCCUAGACCAUGUCAACUGGGUGUUCGGGAAGCGAUUCCUGAGUACCGUAGCUAACGCGUGAAGUUGACCGCCUGGGGAGUACGGCCGCAAGGUUAAAACUCAAAGGAAUUGACGGGGACCCGCACAAGCGGUGGAUGAUGUGGAUUAAUUCGAUGCAACGCAAACAACCUUACCUACCCUUGACAUGUCUGGAAGCCCGGUGAGAGCUGGGUGUGCCCGAAAGGGAACCGGAACACAGGUGCUGCACGGUCGUCGUCAGCU
RNAcentral lists this ribosomal RNA (289 nucleotides) under uncultured bacterium. Its description in RNAcentral is "partial 16S ribosomal RNA". It matches the Rfam family "Bacterial small subunit ribosomal RNA", at positions 773 to 1060 of the family's 1533-position model. The record is from RNAcentral.